Molecule: ribosomal RNA, 201 nt
Filed under: uncultured bacterium
Lineage: Bacteria
Description: partial 16S ribosomal RNA
Rfam family: Bacterial small subunit ribosomal RNA
Source: RNAcentral
GUAGUCUGCGACUCGACUACAUGAAGCUGGAAUCGCUAGUAAUCGCGAAUCAGAAUGUCGCGGUGAAUACGUUCCCGGGUCUUGUACACACCGCCCGUCACACCAUGGGAGUUGGGAAUGCCCGAAGCCGGUGACCUAACCGAAAGGGAGGAGCCGUCGAAGGCAGGCUUGAUAACUGGGGUGAAGUCGUAACAAGGUAGC